CUUCCCUUCCCCUCCCUUCUCCUCCCUUCCCCUCCCCCCCCCAGGGGGCAGCUCCCCUCCACCCUCAGCUUAACAUGACCAGGAUCCUCCUGCUAGCCCCAGACCUGCAGGAAGACAACCUCUACAGAGUCCCAAGUGAUGGCAGGCCUCCACAGGCCUGCUCCAUAGUCCCACUGCUGCCUGCACUGUUCACAGGCUCGGGCUGAUCCUUGCUGCAAGAGAAGAGAAUAACAGGAAACAAAAAGCAAGUAUCAAUCUUGUUUUUAAGGAGCCUUUGUGUGGUUUCCUACUCCCAGUAGAGACAGGGUUGGACUAAAGGGCACUGCUGCAUCUCAGUCACCUUCACCACUAGGAGUAGGAGUGGCUGAAAGCACCCACAAACCCACUCAUCCUCCCUCCAAAGGGAGGCAGGCAGGUAGGACCACUGCUGCAGAAGCAGCGUGUAGACUUCAAUAAAAGCAAAGGGAGCCCAGCAGUGGCCCUGCAUUCAGUCCAAAGUAGGCAGGAUGUGAGCACAUAAGCAGCCACUUUCACUAGCUGAGAAAAAGAAAAAAUCAACAGGAAAAGCAUGUUACGGCAAACCCAUGCAGGCCUCAGAAAAGCAAGCUAAGAGCCUAGCAGCUUCUUGCCAGAGCUCCAGGAGUUCCCAGCAGAAGCUAAGAGGCUUUGGGCAGGCCCUGCCCCCAGUACUUACAGCCUCCGUAGUCUCACUGGUGCCAGAACUGCUCACCGGCUUAGGCUGAUCCUUGCUGCAAGAGGCCUCACUGCAGCCCUCAUCCUGAAACAGAAAACAAAAGCCAGGAGCUUAGAGUAAAAGUCUCAAG
Numida meleagris (helmeted guineafowl) is the source of this 824-nucleotide long non-coding RNA. RefSeq lists it as uncharacterized. The transcript is spliced from 2 exons. Lineage: Eukaryota; Metazoa; Chordata; Aves; Galliformes; Numididae. The record is from RefSeq and is a predicted model, not a curated record.